CCUACGGGGGGCUGCAGUGGGGAAUUUUGGACAAUGGGGGCAACCCUGAUCCAGCCAUGCCGCGUGCGGGAAGAAGGCCUUCGGGUUGUAAACCGCUUUUAGUCGGGAAGAAAAGGCGCCGGAUAACACCCGGCGUUCUUGACGGUACCGGCGGAAUAAGCACCGGCUAACUACGUGCCAGCAGCCGCGGUAAUACGUAGGGUGCGAGCGGGCAUCGAGCGUGCGGGGCGGAAACCGUGCGCAGGCGGUGAAAGCCCCGGGCUCAACCUGGGAAUGGCCGUGGAAACUGGCGGGCUGGAGUGCGGCAGAGGGGGGUGGAAUUCCGCGUGUAGCAGUGAAAUGCGUAGAGAUGCAGAGGAACACCGAUGGCGAAGGCAGCCCCCUGGGCCGACACUGACGCUCAGGCACGAAAGCGUGGGGAGCAAACAGGAUUAGAUACCCCAGUAGUC
Molecule: ribosomal RNA, 449 nt
Filed under: uncultured bacterium
Lineage: Bacteria
Description: partial 16S ribosomal RNA
Rfam family: Bacterial small subunit ribosomal RNA
Source: RNAcentral